RNAcentral lists this transfer RNA (72 nucleotides) under Bos taurus (domestic cattle). It matches the Rfam family "tRNA". Rfam says of the family: Transfer RNA (tRNA) molecules are approximately 80 nucleotides in length. Their secondary structure includes four short double-helical elements and three loops (D, anti-codon, and T loops). Further hydrogen bonds mediate the characteristic L-shaped molecular structure. tRNAs have two regions of fundamental functional importance: the anti-codon, which is responsible for specific mRNA codon recognition, and the 3' end, to which the tRNAs corresponding amino acid is attached (by aminoacyl-tRNA synthetases). tRNAs cope with the degeneracy of the genetic code in two manners: having more than one tRNA (with a specific anti-codon) for a particular amino acid; and 'wobble' base-pairing, i.e. permitting non-standard base-pairing at the 3rd anti-codon position. Lineage: Eukaryota; Metazoa; Chordata; Mammalia; Artiodactyla; Bovidae. RNAcentral also lists the same sequence under 4 other names. The record is from Rfam by way of RNAcentral.
UCCCUGGUGGCUCAGUCGGUAGGGAAUCUGCCUGCAGUGCAGGAGACCCAGGUUUGAUUCCUGGGUUGGGAA